This 345-nucleotide unclassified non-coding RNA is filed under the name soil metagenome. RNAcentral's name for it is "partial contains 5.8S ribosomal RNA, internal transcribed spacer 2, and large subunit ribosomal RNA". The stretch from base 1 to 120 matches the Rfam family "5.8S ribosomal RNA", at positions 35 to 154 of the family's 154-position model. The record is from RNAcentral.
GAUGAAGAACGCAGUGAAAUGCGAUACGUAAUGUGAAUUGCAGAAUUCAGUGAAUCAUCGAGUCUUUGAACGCACAUUGCGCCCCCUGGUAUUCCGGGGGGCAUGCCUGUCCGAGCGUCAUUGCUGCCCUCAAGCACGGCUUGUGUGUUGGGCCUCCGUCCUCCUCCCGGGGGACGGGGCCGAAAGGCAGCGGCGGCACCGCGUCCGGUCCUCGAGCGUAUGGGGCUUCGUCACCCGCUCUUGUAGGCCCGGCCGGCGCUUGCCGACACAUCAAUCUUUUUUCCAGGUUGACCUCGGAUCAGGUAGGGAUACCCGCUGACCUUAAGCAUAUCAAUAAGCGGAGGA